Long non-coding RNA from Branchiostoma belcheri (Belcher's lancelet), 421 nucleotides. RefSeq lists it as uncharacterized. Lineage: Eukaryota; Metazoa; Chordata; Leptocardii; Amphioxiformes; Branchiostomatidae. The record is from RefSeq and is a predicted model, not a curated record. The transcript has 3 exons.
AGAGCGGAGAUCGUACAGAAAACAGGCGUUUAAAUCGCUAAUUUUGCGCGGUAAUGGCACCAACGGAGUCUACCAUGAUCGGAAAUCAAUUUUGGAGAGGCUGGGGAAUCGAGGGGAGAUGUGAUGUCGGUUCGAACGCUCGCAAAUUUCGAAUAGUGGCGUUAGCAACUUUCGUCGCCCCCCUCCCCCUUGUCCGGCUGGCAUCGCAGCAAAAUAACAAAGCAGCAUGAACAGCCUUUGCCUUCGGAUGUACUACUACGGCAGAUGCAGCAGAAGUUGUAAGGACAGUCUAGAUGAAAGGCACGCAACUGCCAGAAGUUCUGAGUCUUUGAGUACCUGACUGCUGCUACAGGCUCCUUAGGAACUGACUCCGAAGAAGGACUCCAUAUCACCACCAAGACAUCCAACAUGCAAACACAGA